UACGUAGGGGGCAAGCGUUGUCCGGAUUUAUUGGGCGUAAAGAGCGUGUAGGCGGCCAGGUAGGUCGGUUGUGAAAACUGGAGGCUCAACCUUCAGACGUCGACCGAAACCAUCUGGCUAGAGUCCGGGAGAGGAGAGUGGAAUUCCUGGUGUAGCGGUGAAAUGCGCAGAUAUCAGGAAGAACACCCGUGGCGAAGGCAGCUCGCUGGGACGUGACUGACGCUGAGACGCGAAAGCGUGGGGAGCGAACAGG
RNAcentral lists this ribosomal RNA (253 nucleotides) under uncultured bacterium. RNAcentral's name for it is "partial 16S ribosomal RNA". It matches the Rfam family "Bacterial small subunit ribosomal RNA", at positions 524 to 776 of the family's 1533-position model. The record is from RNAcentral.